AAGAGAUGUGUCACCUUUUUCAGCCCUUCUGAGUUUGCAGGUGCUUUGCUUAAAUUUCUCAGCCCUCAGGCUCUUCCUAAGGAUACCUCCACUGAUGAAGCUACACCAUCAACUUCAUCCUCAACAUCAACAGAUGCAUCACUUCUCAGUGCUGAUGUUUCCUCUAUAGCACAAGGUAC
Molecule: long non-coding RNA, 179 nt
Organism: Perca flavescens (yellow perch)
Lineage: Eukaryota; Metazoa; Chordata; Actinopteri; Perciformes; Percidae
Exons: 3
Source: RefSeq, a predicted model, not a curated record